CGUGUGAAGUGUCCGGGAGUAGUAGAAGGUAGGAAGGUUUUUGUAGUGAACGUAUCAACGUACGUUGGGUUGUUUUUUAGACUGAUCCUUUACAGUUCACUGUUCCUGUACCCCCCGGUUGUGUGAAACGUUUUUGUUGGGGUCGUGACAGGAACACUAGAGGUUGGUCCCCGGGUCCGUGUUAUUGGUUCGUAGGUGUUCCCGGACCAACGUUUUCAACGUACGAAAUAAUAAGGUGUUUCAGGUUAUGAUCAGGAACCCCUUAACCGUGUUCCUCUCUCUUUCACUGUCUCUCUCCAUCUCUCUCUCUAUCCCCCUCCCACCCUCUCCUCUGGGACUGGUUACGGUUCUUGUUCUUCUCUAGUCACUCUUCCGGUCCGCUUUUAGGGGUGGCCCGCUCUUCUCUGCUCGAGGCCGGAGGAGGCUCUUGUUCUUGUUCUUCCUUAGGGCCUCGUGCUCCCUUCUUAUUUCGCCCGCCUCCUCUGGCCUUUCCGGCUCCUCUUUUUUCGAGAACUAACUACCUCUUCCCCUACCUAGGCCGCGACGACCUGUUGUAGUAGCGGUCCGACGACCUCCACUUCUCGGAGUUCGGGCCCUUCUUGCGCGUCGACAGGCUCAGCCUCUAGUUCGUCGAGACGCGGCGGAGGUUCCUCUAGAAGGAGCGCGUCGGGUUGGAGGACCUCGAGCUCCGGGGGUAGUUUUAGACGCCACUACAGGUACCGGUUAUAAGACUAGAGGACUCCGAGAAACUUAUACCACCUAUAGGAGGAGUCAGGUUGAUAGAAAAGAACCCGCUAAUACACCUGGCCCCUUUCGUCUCGGAACUCUGUUAUACGGAAGAAAACCGUAUAUUCCAGUUCAUAGGACUCUUGAAGAAAGAAGAUUCCCCGUUGGUACUUACACGUAGUCAUUUGGCGUAGAUACCCAAGAUACUACUCACGUUCGCGUCUAAGUCACAUUUUGAGACCUUUUGUAAAUGUCUGACAAAAUUGACGAAUGGCCAUAGUCGCAACUAUCUACUUUUCUAAGAUACAUACGUACCUCCAGAAAGGGGUCUCAACUUGUUCGACCUAGUUUAUGAGUUGGAGUUAGCGGGGUGUCUACACGGACUAUGACCCAAUGAAACACUAGAAGAAACCAGGCUAGGAAGCUUACUUCGCGUUCCCACCCGAUACUUACUAGCUCCACAGAGUAUAUGUAAACCUGGACUAUUUCACCGACUUAAAGAACUCUUCGUACUAAAUCUGGAGUAGACGGCUCGGGUAGUCCAACAACUCCUACCGAUGCUCAAGAAACGACUAGCAGUCGAUCAUUGUUAUAAAAGCCGUGGAUUAAUGACACCUCUUAAGCUAUUACGACCACGGUACUACUCACAUCUGCUCUGCGACUACACGAGGAAGGUUUAUGAGUUUGGGCGUUCCUUUUACAACGGACCAAGUUGAUUAUUGUUCAGACCUAAGUUCAGUUACUCUCCUACCACUGCCACCGUGCCGCUAACCACUCGUUCGACACCAGAGUAGACGUCCGUCCGUGCACGGAUGAUGCUCGCCGACGCUGAUUGGCCGCAAAAGCGGCUACGGAGCUCGGGCCUGGCCUUGUUCUUGCGUCUAACAUGUUGAGAGAGCAGCUACCUGACAUGUAGCAAGUACAGCCUAAUUGUGAACAACAUUACAUAAUAACAAAAAGAUGGCACGCCUAGAGAAAUAGCAUGCUCUCCUGCUACACUUACUUUGACAACGAGGAGGAAGGGGGGGAGAUUUAAGCCUAAGUCCGUCCGUAUAUGCGGUUAUUUUUGACCAUUCUCAGAACCCACGACCGACACCCUAGAACUCUCUGUCCCUCUUUGUAACGGGUACCAAGACUUAAGCUCGAACAAGCUUAGACGUCAAACGUACCAAACUCGAAACGCGUUCUUAGAGCUACGUGGAGUCGUAAACAACAGCAACGACAAGGUAAAUCGACACACAGACUUAUAUG
This 1977-nucleotide ribosomal RNA is filed under the name Triticum aestivum (bread wheat). RNAcentral's name for it is "partial small subunit ribosomal RNA". Lineage: Eukaryota; Viridiplantae; Streptophyta; Magnoliopsida; Poales; Poaceae. The record is from RNAcentral.